This 28-nucleotide small RNA is filed under the name Bombyx mori (domestic silkworm). RNAcentral's name for it is "ovarian small RNA-22519". The record is from RNAcentral. Lineage: Eukaryota; Metazoa; Arthropoda; Insecta; Lepidoptera; Bombycidae.
UAGCUGCCAAGAGGCAACCGGGGACAUG